UGUUUCUGCCAGGGCUAGAACCUGGGACCUUCCGGGUGUUAGGCGGAUGUGAUAACCACCACACCACAGCAAC
Molecule: transfer RNA, 73 nt
Filed under: Cordylochernes scorpioides
Lineage: Eukaryota; Metazoa; Arthropoda; Arachnida; Pseudoscorpiones; Chernetidae
Description: tRNA-Val
Source: RNAcentral